RNAcentral lists this small RNA (418 nucleotides) under Pongo abelii (Sumatran orangutan). RNAcentral's name for it is "retained intron". Lineage: Eukaryota; Metazoa; Chordata; Mammalia; Primates; Hominidae. The record is from RNAcentral.
AGGAAAACCCGAAAGUGACACUGUGGAUUUUCACUGUUCUAAGCUCCCCGUGACCUGUGGUGAGGCAAAAGGGAUUUUAUAUAAGAAGAAAAUGAAACAUGGAUCCUCAGUGAAGUGCAUUCAGAAUGAGGAUGGAACUUGGUUAACACCAAAUGAAUUUGAAAUUGAAGGAAAAGGAAGAAACGCAAAGAACUGGAAACGGAAUAUACGUUGUGGAGGAACGACCCUAGGAGAGCUGCUGAAGGUAUUAUAAUGACAAGGGACAGAUAGGUGACAGGUUUAAAUCCUUGAAGGAGAAGUGGAGCUUUAAGAGCAGAAAUGUGAAGAGCUCCCGUUAGGAUUCAACAGCAUGAUUUAUAAGGAGUUAAAUGUUUAUAGAAAAAAAAUUGUGGGUGACAAAGUUAGGAGCACAGAUUGU